UUGCACACGUGGCUGUAGGCGUCUUCUGGUUUGUUUCGGUUUGUGAGAAAAUGGGACGCGCACCUUGCACCACUUUCAGAGAUUUACUAGAGGAGUAUAACGUGGAGGUAAAAGGACCAUUCAACCAUUUGGCUAGAAAUGAAGCUGGUCUUCCACGGGAAUGGUAUGACCCUUCUUCAAGUGUAGAAGAUAAGCAAACCCGCCAGUCAAGAAACAAAGUCCUGG
This 225-nucleotide unclassified non-coding RNA is filed under the name Hevea brasiliensis (rubber tree). The record is from RNAcentral. Lineage: Eukaryota; Viridiplantae; Streptophyta; Magnoliopsida; Malpighiales; Euphorbiaceae.